RNAcentral lists this transfer RNA (72 nucleotides) under Enteromius hulstaerti (butterfly barb). RNAcentral describes it as "tRNA-Ile". It matches the Rfam family "tRNA". Rfam says of the family: Transfer RNA (tRNA) molecules are approximately 80 nucleotides in length. Their secondary structure includes four short double-helical elements and three loops (D, anti-codon, and T loops). Lineage: Eukaryota; Metazoa; Chordata; Actinopteri; Cypriniformes; Cyprinidae. The record is from RNAcentral.
GGAGCCGUGCCCGAAUGUUUAAGGACCACUUUGAUAGAGUGAUUUAUAGGGGUUAAAGCCCCCUCAGCUCCU